RNAcentral lists this ribosomal RNA (568 nucleotides) under uncultured bacterium. RNAcentral describes it as "bacterial SSU rRNA". It matches the Rfam family "Bacterial small subunit ribosomal RNA", at positions 224 to 806 of the family's 1533-position model. The record is from RNAcentral.
GAUGAGUCCACAUCCUAUCAGCUUGUUGGUGAGGUAAAAGCUCACCAAGGCUAAGACGGGUAGCUGGCGUGAGAGCGCGGUCAGCCACCAUGGAACUGAGACACGGUCCAUACUCCUACGGGAGGCAGCAAUUAGGAAUCUUGCACAAUGGGGGCAACCCUGAUGCAGCGACACAGCGUGGAGGAUGAAGGUCUUCGGAUUGUAAACUCCUUUUAUAUGGGACGAAUAGAUGACGGUACCAUAUGAAUAAGUACCUGCUAACUACGUGCCAGAAGCAUCGGUGAUGCGUAGGGUACAAACGUUAUCCGGAUUAAUUGGGCGUAUAGAGAAGCGUAGGCGUUUCUGCCAGUCUUUAGUUAAAGACCACGGCCUAACCGUGGGAGAGCUCGAGAUACUACAGAAAUUGAGACAGGAAUGGGCGAAUGGAAUUCCCAGUGGAGCAGUGAAAUGCGUUGAUAUUGGGAGGAACAUCAGUGGCGAAGGCGAUUCGCUGGUCCUUGUCUGACGCUAAGGCUCGAAAGCGUGGGUAGCAAAACGGAUUAGAUACCCGUGUAGUCCACGCCGUAAA